Saccostrea cuccullata (small rock oyster) is the source of this 271-nucleotide long non-coding RNA. RefSeq lists it as uncharacterized. NCBI's taxonomy places the organism in Eukaryota, Metazoa, Mollusca, Bivalvia, Ostreida, Ostreidae. The record is from RefSeq and is a predicted model, not a curated record. The transcript is spliced from 5 exons.
AUGCAGAUAUGCAUCCUUAUCCUUGUCCUGGUGCGUGUAACCGUAAAGGCCCAGUGAAUGCAAUUGUCAUUUGAAUUGAUGAUUGGACAACAUUACCAGAAUUUGAAGAAAGUAGGUCUACGCUGAAGUUACCUUCUUCGGUCAGUUUUAAUAUCGAGUGCCACUGUGGUGGUGUUGGAAGGGAAAGUGGAAAAGGAGAAGAAAUUAUUCAAUCUAUAAACAAGGUUUCGGAUAGAAUAAUGUAAAUACUCACCAAAAGAAUAAGGACUUG